ACGGCGAGUGAAGCGGCAACAGCUCAAAUUUGAAAUCUGGCCCCCCGGCCCGAGUUGUAAUUUGCAGAGGAUGCUUCUGGCGACGCGCCUUCCGAGUUCCCUGGAACGGGACGCCACAGAGGGUGAGAGCCCCGUCCGGUCGUGCGCCUAGCCUGUGUGAAGCUCCUUCGACGAGUCGAGUAGUUUGGGAAUGCUGCUCUAAAUGGGAGGUAUACGUCUUCUAAAGCUAAAUACCGGCCAGAGACCGAUAGCGCACAAGUAGAGUGAUCGAAAGAUGAAAAGCACUUUGAAAAGAGGGUUAAAUAGUACGUGAAAUUGCUGAAAGGGAAGCGCUUAUGACCAGACUUGGGCCCGGUGAAUCACCAGCGUUCUCGCUGGUGCACUUUGCCGGCCCAGGCCAGCAUCAGUUCGCGCCGGGGGAUAAA
RNAcentral lists this ribosomal RNA (425 nucleotides) under Hapsidospora chrysogena. RNAcentral describes it as "eukaryotic LSU rRNA". It matches the Rfam family "Eukaryotic large subunit ribosomal RNA", at positions 86 to 523 of the family's 3401-position model. The record is from RNAcentral. Lineage: Eukaryota; Fungi; Ascomycota; Sordariomycetes; Hypocreales; Bionectriaceae.